RNAcentral lists this small RNA (113 nucleotides) under Salinivibrio sp. PR919. RNAcentral's name for it is "partial 6S RNA". It matches the Rfam family "6S / SsrS RNA", at positions 1 to 116 of the family's 187-position model. Rfam says of the family: E. coli 6S RNA was the first non coding RNA to be sequenced, but its function was unknown until recently. The record is from RNAcentral. Lineage: Bacteria; Pseudomonadati; Pseudomonadota; Gammaproteobacteria; Vibrionales; Vibrionaceae.
AAUUCCCUGGGGUGUUUGUCAGCGGAUCUACGUCCCUGAGCCGAUAAGCAAACCUAAGGGUGUGUUGUUACAAGCUACUGAGCAAGCUCGGCACGUACCGAGAAGCCUACGGU